RNAcentral lists this ribosomal RNA (391 nucleotides) under uncultured bacterium. RNAcentral's name for it is "bacterial SSU rRNA". It matches the Rfam family "Bacterial small subunit ribosomal RNA", at positions 28 to 420 of the family's 1533-position model. The record is from RNAcentral.
GACGAACGCUGGCGGCGUGCUUAACACAUGCAAGUCGAGCGGUAAGGCCCUUUCGGGGGUACACGAGCGGCGAACGGGUGAGUAACACGUGGGUGACCUGCCCUCAGCUCUGGGAUAAGCCUGGGAAACUGGGUCUAAUACUGGAUAUGACUCCACGGUGCAUGUCGUGGGGUGGAAAGCCUUGUGCGGCUGAGGAUGGGCCCGCGGCCUAUCAGCUUGUUGGUGGGGUGANGGCCUACCAAGGCGACGACGGGUAGCCGGCCUGAGAGGGCGACCGGCCACACUGGGACUGAGACACGGCCCAGACUCCUACGGGAGGCAGCAGUGGGGAAUAUUGCACAAUGGGCGAAAGCCUGAUGCAGCGACGCCGCGUGAGGGAUGACGGCCUCGG